Molecule: long non-coding RNA, 1870 nt
Organism: Camelus dromedarius (Arabian camel)
Lineage: Eukaryota; Metazoa; Chordata; Mammalia; Artiodactyla; Camelidae
Exons: 5
Source: RefSeq, a predicted model, not a curated record
GGACGAGUAGGGACGCACGGCGGCGAGGCCGGUCAGUCCCGGAGCCGGCGGCCGCUCCAACACAGGGCGGGGCGCGAGCGCCAGUCCCUGCAGGCCGGGCGCCGCGGAGGGAGCGCGGCCUCCGCCCGGGCGUCUGCCGUUCUCCCCGGAGCCCGCCGCCCGCUCGCCCCGGCUCCCUCCCGCCGCUGCCGCACAGGGCAUAGCCGGGCGCGAGGAGCGAGGUGCGAGGCGUGAGGAGACGGCUGCAGGAGCUCCCGCAGGCCCCGCAGCAGCUCCGCGGCCGCGCGAGGUGUUCUGAGGUCGGCUGCGGGGCCUCUGACCUGCUGAGUGUGCACAGGUGACUCUGUGCGGUGUCUGUCAGUGUGCCGUUCGUGGCGGGGUCUGUGUUCGGGGACGGGUGUGUUUGUGUCUGCAAUUGCCACAGUUGGUUCCGGCCCUCCAUCCCUCCCCAGCCCCAUUCUCAGCCUCGUGGUCCUGACAUGCCCACUGCUUCUGCCCUGGAUGCUUUCUCUGGGCUCCGCCCCCAGCAUUUCCACAUCACGCCUGCUGUCUUAGUCCUGAAGAAAUCCUGUCCUUUGGAUUUGUGCCACCUUCUGUAAGUUGAAAUCUUCUGGACUAAGUGCGGCAGUGAGUUGGAGUCAGAAGAGGAGGUAUUGCCAUCAGAGAGUCAGCAAAUGUGGUUGACCAAGCCCAGAGGAGGGUGCUAAGGGGAGUUGAUGACCUGGACUUUUUCAUAGGGGAUGAAGCCAUAGAUAAACCCACAUAUGCCACAAAGUGGCCAAUAAGACAUGGUAUAAUUGAAGACUGAGAUCUAAUGGCGAGGUUCAUGGAACAAGUGAUUUUUAAUUUUCCCUGAGCUGAACCAGAGUGCCAUCACUUUUUGAUGACAGAACCUCCCCUGAAUACACCAGAAAAUAGAGAAUAUCUUGCAGAAAUUAUGUUUGAAUUAUAUAAUGUACUAGGACUCUACAUUUCAGUUCAGGCUACACACUCUCUCACUUCUAGAAGUUGGGCACCUCAGAAGGCAUAAGAGGAAUUCAGUCACCUGUUCUUGCAACUUCACUGGUAACUGUCUGUGCUUGUACUCGGUGGAACUGAUACAUCUGUCAGAUGGAUGAGGAUUUGCUCCAGCCUUCUGUCUCCAUGAGUGUGUGACAAGCAGCCAGUGCCAUCAGGGAGCUCAGAGUGCCUCCUCUACCUGGUGCAGUUGGGGACAUUGUCCACUCUGCCCAGCUGCUCCCACCAGCAUGAGCUGGAUCUUCCCAACCUGUGGCCUGAAUGUUGAGUGGCACCCUGGUGGGCUGGUGAGGCCCUGGGGUCACACAGCAGCUCCUGGCCCUGUCCUGCUGGUGAUGGCUGACAGCCUGGUCACUGGCCCGGGAGGGCAGCUGGGUGAGCAGAUCCAAACUCCCCCCAGCAUGGAUCUCACAUAGCAUAGGGUUGAGGGGAACCUGCCAGACUGUUCCUUCCUACCAAGUGCAGCUCUUACUAGAGUGAGCAGAUCGGUUAUUGAGUCCUUAAUGCAUGCCUAAACCAUGCUGUGUGCUUGACCCACUGCCUGUCACUAGGUCCCUUCUGUGCACCCACUCUCCUCAUAUGAUGGGUGAAGGUGCCAAGACUGAAACAUAUGUGUUAACAGGUGUGGCCAUGGUUACUCUGCCCACAGAUAUGGAACCAGGAUCUGAGUCCAGGUUGUUACACUCUAAGUCCUGCAUGCUAACCAGAUUGUUGACUUUUAAAUGCAAGCCAAUUUGUAGUUGGUUUAAAAAUUAAUAGUUAAACGGCAAAAAUGUAUGUGACAAUGAAUAUAUAUAUGUUCAUGUAUAACUGAAAAAAUUGUGUUCUACACUGGAAUUUGACACAACAUUGU